Molecule: ribosomal RNA, 468 nt
Filed under: uncultured bacterium
Lineage: Bacteria
Description: partial 16S ribosomal RNA
Rfam family: Bacterial small subunit ribosomal RNA
Source: RNAcentral
GACGAACGCUGGCGGCGUGCUUAACACAUGCAAGUCGAACGGAAAGGCCCUGCUUUUGUGGGGUGCUCGAGUGGCGAACGGGUGAGUAACACGUGAGUAACCUGCCCUUGACUUUGGGAUAACUUCAGGAAACUGGGGCUAAUACCGGAUAGGAGCUCCUGCUGCAUGGGGGGGGUUGGAAAGUUUCGGCGGUUGGGGAUGGACUCGCGGCUUAUCAGCUUGUUGGUGGGGUAGUGGCUUACCAAGGCUUUGACGGGUAGCCGGCCUGAGAGGGUGACCGGCCACAUUGGGACUGAGAUACGGACCAGACUCCUACGGGAGGCAGCAGUGGGGAAUAUUGCACAAUAGGCGGAAGCCUGAUGCAGCAACGCCGCGUGCGGGAUGACGGCCUUCGGGUUGUAAACCGCUUUGGAAUGUGACGAAGCGUGAGUGACGGUAAUGGGUAAAGAAGCACCGGCUAACUACGUG